RNAcentral lists this unclassified non-coding RNA (218 nucleotides) under Hevea brasiliensis (rubber tree). Lineage: Eukaryota; Viridiplantae; Streptophyta; Magnoliopsida; Malpighiales; Euphorbiaceae. The record is from RNAcentral.
GUUGGCUAGAAUUGUGUGGUUUUUGCUGCUUCUGCAAUUGUUGCUGAAAUAAGAUGAACUCAUCAGGCUUCUCCCAUCUACUUUCACAAGUUGUGCAGUUAUAAUAGUACUUAUACCCAUCAGGGCAGGCAUGCUCACUCCAAUCGCACUCUUGUAGAUCCACUGUCUGGGGACUUGGAGGUACUGCAAGUGUAGCAGAAGUAACACUCACUGCUGGA